AGGGAACGCUGGCGGCAUGCCUUACACAUGCAAGUCGAACGGCAGCACGGACUUCGGUCUGGUGGCGAGUGGCGAACGGGUGAGUAAUGUAUCGGAACGUACCUUUCAGUGGGGGAUAACGUAGCGAAAGUUACGCUAAUACCGCAUAUUCUGUGAGCAGGAAAGCAGGGGAUCGAAAGACCUUGCGCUGAUUGAGCGGCCGAUAUCAGAUUAGCUAGUUGGUGGGGUAAAGGCCUACCAAGGCGACGAUCUGUAGCGGGUCUGAGAGGAUGAUCCGCCACACUGGAACUGAGACACGGUCCAGACUCCUACGGGAGGCAGCAGUGGGGAAUUUUGGACAAUGGGGGCAACCCUGAUCCAGCCAUGCCGCGUGAGUGAAGAAGGCCUUCGGGUUGUAAAGCUCUUUCGGCCGGGAAGAAAUCGCAUAGGCUAAUACCCUGUGUGGAUGACGGUACCGGAAUAAGAAGCACCGGCUAACUACGUG
This 484-nucleotide ribosomal RNA is filed under the name uncultured bacterium. Its description in RNAcentral is "partial 16S ribosomal RNA". It matches the Rfam family "Bacterial small subunit ribosomal RNA", at positions 31 to 507 of the family's 1533-position model. The record is from RNAcentral.